GACGAACCGUGCGAACGUUGUUCGGAAUCACUGGGCUUAAAGGGCGCGUAGGCGGGCCGUCUGGUCCGUGGUGAAAGCUUCCGGCUUAACCGGAAUAACGCCGCGGAUACCGACGGUCUGGAGGCGGGCAGGGGCGCGUGGAACUCCCGGUGGAGCGGUGAAAUGUGUUGAGAUCGGGAGGAACGCCGGCGGCGAAAGCGGCGCGCUGGGCCCGUCCUGACGCUGAGGCGCGAAAGCCAGGGGAGCGAACGGGAUUAGAUACCCCGGUAGUCCUGGCCCUAAACGAUGGGUACCGGGUAGGGGGCCGGCAUGGGCUCCCUGCCGGAGCGAAAGCGUUCAGUACCCCGCCUGGGGAGUAUGGCCGCAAGGCUGAA
RNAcentral lists this ribosomal RNA (374 nucleotides) under uncultured bacterium. RNAcentral describes it as "bacterial SSU rRNA". It matches the Rfam family "Bacterial small subunit ribosomal RNA", at positions 524 to 898 of the family's 1533-position model. The record is from RNAcentral.